This 253-nucleotide ribosomal RNA is filed under the name uncultured bacterium. RNAcentral's name for it is "partial 16S ribosomal RNA". It matches the Rfam family "Bacterial small subunit ribosomal RNA", at positions 524 to 776 of the family's 1533-position model. The record is from RNAcentral.
UACGAAGGGGGCGAGCGUUGUUCGGAGUUACUGGGCGUAAAGCGCGCGUAGGCGGCUUUGUAAGUCGGUUGUGAAAUCCCCGGGCUUAACCUGGGAACUGCAUCCGAGACUGCAUGGCUAGAGUAUGGGAGAGGGAAGUGGAAUUUCAGGUGUAGCGGUGAAAUGCGUAGAUAUCUGAAGGAACAUCAGUGGCGAAAGCGACUUCCUGGACCAAUACUGACGCUCAUGUGCGAAAGCGUGGGGAGCAAACAGG